CUCUACGGACAUACCACCCUGACUGCGCCCGAUCUCCUCUGAUCUCGGAAGCCAAGCAGGGUCGGGCCUGGUUAGUUACUUGGACACACAGCUUAAGCUCUGGCCACUUUUACAC
This 115-nucleotide ribosomal RNA is filed under the name Mus pahari (shrew mouse). The record is from RNAcentral. Lineage: Eukaryota; Metazoa; Chordata; Mammalia; Rodentia; Muridae.